Molecule: long non-coding RNA, 376 nt
Organism: Macrobrachium nipponense
Lineage: Eukaryota; Metazoa; Arthropoda; Malacostraca; Decapoda; Palaemonidae
Exons: 4
Source: RefSeq, a predicted model, not a curated record
CAAGCGUGUUCGCUGCCGAAGUUGCCCAUCUAGAGACGACCACAAGACGAACACAGCAUGUUUGCGAUGCAAACGGUCCCGUGUUCCUACAGCAUCAAACUGUCUUGUGUCCGAAGUGUGUACCUCGUACGUAGGUAGCAAAUUUGGCCGUCGCACUUGUCGUGGGUGGGGCCCCAUUUACUGUACAUAUCCAUUAGGUAGCAAAUUUGGCCGUCGCACUUGUCGUGGGUGGGGGCCCAUUUACUGUAUAUAUCAAUUAGAUUUUGACCUCUAUGGGUCCGACACCUUUUCUGGCUGUGGAGACUUGUAAAUUGUAGUUUUAGGAAGGAUUCCUCAAUUUAUUUUCUUAUAUAGGUUAUUUUGUAUUUUUUAUAAA